This is a long non-coding RNA of Phyllostomus discolor (pale spear-nosed bat), 4145 nucleotides long. RefSeq lists it as uncharacterized. The transcript has 2 exons. The record is from RefSeq and is a predicted model, not a curated record. Lineage: Eukaryota; Metazoa; Chordata; Mammalia; Chiroptera; Phyllostomidae.
AUGCUAAAUAAAAUAAGCCAGUCAGAAGAAGACAAAUACAAUAUGAUUUCACUUAUAUGUGGAAUCUGAUGAACAAAAUAAAAAUUGAAACAGACUCGUAGAUACAGAGAGCAAGCUGGUAGUUGCUAGAAGGUAGAUGGCUGGGGGACUGGAUGAAAGAGGUGAAGGGACUAAGAAGCACAAGUUGGUAGUUACAGCAUAGUCAUGGGGAAGUAAGUGAAGCAUAGGAAACAUAGUCAAUAAUAUUGCAAUAACUAUGUAUAGUUCCAGUUGGGGUCUGGAAAUAUCAAGGGGAAAACUAUGUAAAGUAUUUGAUUGUCUAACCACCAAGCUGUACAUGUGAAACCAAUGCAAAAUAAAAUUGAAAGAAAAAAACAAGCUGAGGGCAUUUCAGUAUACAUGGUGGGGCAAAUGUAGGUUUACAGUUGUGUAUAUGCAAAACAGUUCAUUCUUGUAGUAUCAUUAAUUGUAUUAUUUUCCAUACAAACAACUGUAUACCUACUUUUGCCUCACCCUGUAUUUAGUGUAAAACUGCUUUUGCAGAUGGCUCUGCUGCUUUGUUUAGGAUACAGUAGUGUUUGUUUAUUUUUAAUAUUUCUUGGAUUCUAGAACAUCAGCUGGUUUUCAGGGAAGAAUACUAACAUUUUCAAUCAUGUAAUUUUCUAGUAUUGUUUUUAGAGGUUUUGGGGGGCAGUCUUUUCAGAACACUGUAAAAUAGGAUGGAGUACUACAUCAUUCAGUAGUAUAUUCAAAAAUGAAAGCACCUCAAAACCUUUCCAAAAUGAAAUAAAUACAAAGGGAGUGGGUGUUAGGGAAAGAACUGAAGUUUCUAAAAGUGUAUAUUUUAUUCCAGGGCGGUGUUUCAGUAUUUUAAUACAUAUUUGAUCCUGUUUGAAUUGAGUUUCAUGAUUUUUUUGUUUUAACUCCGACUGAGAUAAACAGAAUUUGCUUGAAGACACAUGUAAGUCCACAUAAUUGGUGAGGCUGGAGCUUAUAUCCUGAUUUUUAAGUUUAGCGUUCUUUUGUAGAAGUAAAGAAUGCUUACAGACUCUUUCUCAUCCUCCUCUGCCAUCUCCCUCUCUUAGUGGGGAAAUGCUUGCAGUCAUUUAUAGAGAUAGUUGCUUUACAGAUAAUCUUUGUAUCACACUCUGUGAAAUUCGUGCCUGGAGGGAGAUGGGGAGAACCUGAAGUAGCAAUAUUGCAGUAGGAAGCACCAAAGAGACCUCUAAUUCCAGGGCAGAGCUGUUGUGCCCUUGUUUGGAUAGCUCAAUGGCAACCCAAAAUCUAUACAUGUUAGUUGUUGCUGAAAGAAAUGUGUAGGUAAAUCCUACCUUUGACUGCUGCGGAAGUGCUUUUCUCAAUCACUUUUGCUUUUUUUAAAAUUUAUUUUUCAAUUACUGUUGACACACACUCUUACACUAGUUCAGAUGUACAACAUAGUGAUUAGACAUUUAUAUAGCUUAAAAAAUGAUCAUGCCGGUAAGUCUAGUACCCAAUAUUAUGAUUGUAUUCCUUAUACUGUACUUUACAUCUCCAAAGUACUCUUGCUUUUGGUGAAGAAUCAUUAAAAUUGUUUCUUGAUGGGCUUUAUUGGAUGAAUCUCAUUACACAUGUGCCAGAAUUUUAUAUUAUUACAUUUCUUUGGCCAAAUUUGGAGGUGGAAAGUUAUGUACAGCCCAGUCAUAUGUAAAACAAUAAUGUUAUUAAUGAUAUUAUUUGUUAAAACUGCCAUUGUUAACAACCACUACUUAGUUCAUGCUCUGGGCUAAGUGCUUUUAAGUUUUAGUGAUAAUGUGUAUGACUCACCCUACAAGAUAAAUAUUAUCCCCAUCUUAUAGCUAAAGAAAUCGAGACUUAGUGACUUGCCUAAGGUUAUAUAACUAAAUAAGUAGCAGAGCCAGGGUAUAUAACCUAGGUCUACAGGGCUUAACUUUAUUCUUUCUGUUGAAUCAAGUAUCCUGACAUGUAUAUUAAAAUAUGUUUUACUAAUUGCAGGACAGUGUGACUUUCUUUGAACCUGUUCUGCCAAGGUUCCCUCCCCUGUCUUCAUUCUGAUAUCAACUGCUGUUGCUGGUACCCCUUAAAAAUAGUGUGUGAAAAAUGCUGAAUUAACAAAUUGAGUUUUUGAUGGCCUACCAUGGUUCCUGUAGCUGAUAUCAUACUUUCUCCACCCCUUAAAUAAAAGUAAUUGUUUGUUCAUAGCUCUUUCAAAGACUGAGAAACAGAAGUUGUUCCUUUUGGUUGUACAGUAAGCCAGAAUCAGAACUAGGUCAGAAUUCAUUGGCUCUGAUGAAUACUUGAGUAAUUAGGGAAUCAGAUAAUCAAAGUAAAUCCAUCUUUUUAAUAUAAUUAUACCUUGAUUCAGAGAGGUUGAAUUAAUUGAAAUUUGCUCAUGUAGAAGAAAACAAAUCCAUGUUCUUUUGACUCAUAGUUGGAAAAUAAUUUUAUGAUAAUGGUCAUUAUUGCUCACUUUUUGCCCAUUACACAUGCUGAUUUUUUUCAGGAAGAUCAUGCUCCAUAAAUGUGAAUGUUCUGGCACUUGGACUUAUGGCUCUCUUGCCCACAUUCAUAUUAAGAGACAUUGGUACAAAGGUAUACCACAUACUUUGUUUUUAUAAAUCCAAGGACUUCAGUUUUCUGUUACUGUAACUUAAAUUUUAGAUUAGCUUGUAGAAAACUGAAAGAUGCUGAAGAGAAUAGGAACAAAAGGAAAUCCCGUGUUUCUGUGUUUCUUAGAGUAGGAAAAAUGAGUGAAUGGUGGCUAAUGAGUAGUAGAAAGUAAUAAAUCCAUAGGGAUUUGGUUUGAAGUUAAGUGACUGAAUUUAUAGAAAACUAAUAUUGUCUAUAUUAGCUAUAAUUGAAUCAGUCAGUAUCUAAGGGGUACCUACUUCGGAUUUCUCAGUAUGCCUAGUACUAUGGAGGUUACAAAAGGAAUAUGUAGUAUUUGAUUGUCUAGGAACCUAGUCACUUUGGAAUAAUAAACCUUGUACUCUAAACAUAAUACACAUUUUGAAAAUGAAAAUGUAAAAAACAUUUGACACAUUAAUUACUAAAAUUAAUGGUGUCAGGCACAAAGGGGCAUUUUUCUUUCUUUUUUUAAGGCUUUGGUUAUCUUUUAGAAGAACUUCACUAUGGAAGGAAUGCUUUUCAGAUUCUCCCUGAUCUAGUCUUUUUAAAGUCUUUGUUGGCUUUGUUUCUUCCUGAAUUUAUUGCUACUAAAAUAAGAGCACCAAGGGAAUAGGGAUUAUGGCCUUCAUGUUUGUGACUGCAUUUCUAGUGUCCAGUGAUCAAUAAACAGGUUUUGAAUAAAUUAAUGUGAAAGUCUCUUUUUUUCCUCUCAUUAUCCAGUUUCUUGAAAGGUUUCUGUCCUAUGUGGGCUUCACAUUUGUACCUUUUGUUUCUUUGUCAGCCCAUUGCUAUCCCAAGUAAUGAAAUAAUUACCUCAAAGCUUAACGAUUUUCUAAUUGUCUAAAGAUUAUUGUUAUCUAUAUGCUGUUACUGCUUAACUUUGUUGUAACUUUGAUACUAUUGUCUCUCUGUUCCUACUGGAAAUACUUUUGUAGCUUUACUGUCAGUUUUUCUGACUAUGGCCCCUUACCACCUCCAUAUUCAGUCUGUCUAUCCUUUUAGUUUGUGUUUUGCAGAGUUCAGUUGUUACAGAAUUCUUAAUCCACACACUCUUCCCUGCUGAAGUAAUCUCAUCUCUUGUUUUUAAUUUUUAACUGGAUGUAGAUGUCCAGAGUUAUACAUCUGGCUUUGACCUCUCUCUUGAGCUCCAGACUUAUUUGUCAGCCAGUAAACACUAAGUAUAUGUCAGAACUGGGAAUAUGGAGAUGAAUAAGGCACAGUUUACCCCAGAGUACUGACAGUUUAGUUGGAACAGAACAAUUAGUAAACUAGCAGUUAAGCAGCACAUUAUAUCUAUAAUAGAGUGCCUUGGGACUAAAGAAAAAGGUGGCCUGAUUCAGUUUGGAGGGAGUCAGGUAAUGUUUUUCCCCUCAGUGAUGCUUGAGAAGGAUGAUUAAGAGUUCACCAGGUGAGUAAUGUGGGAGGAGUAUUUUAUGUUGUCUCUGUUAAGCCUGGUGGAUUGUGCUCCCUCUAAAAACAGACCAUUACAGAAUUCUUGGAGGUCUGAGGACAUACAG